Molecule: ribosomal RNA, 303 nt
Filed under: uncultured bacterium
Lineage: Bacteria
Description: partial 16S ribosomal RNA
Rfam family: Bacterial small subunit ribosomal RNA
Source: RNAcentral
AGCAGUAGCCGCGGUAAUACAGAGGGUGCGAGCGUUAAUCGGAUUUACUGGGCGUAAAGCGUGCGUAGGCGGCUAAUUGAGUCGGAUGUGAAAUCCCCGAGCUUAACUUGGGAAUUGCAUUUGAUACUGGUUAGCUAGAGUGUGGGAGAGGAUGGUAGAAUUCCAGGUGUAGCGGUGAAAUGCGUAGAGAUCUGGAGGAAUACCGAUGGCGAAGGCAGCCAUCUGGCCUAACACUGACGCUGAGGUACGAAAGCAUGGGGAGCAAACAGGAUUAGAUACCCCUGUAGUCCCUGUCUCUUAUAC